Molecule: ribosomal RNA, 253 nt
Filed under: uncultured bacterium
Lineage: Bacteria
Description: partial 16S ribosomal RNA
Rfam family: Bacterial small subunit ribosomal RNA
Source: RNAcentral
UACAGAGGUCUCAAGCGUUGUUCGGAUUCAUUGGGCGUAAAGGGUGCGUAGGCGGCGCGGUAAGUCGGGUGUGAAAUUUCGGAGCUUAACUCCGAAACUGCAUUCGAUACUGCCGUGCUUGAGGACUGGAGAGGAGACUGGAAUUUACGGUGUAGCAGCGAAAUGCGUAGAGAUCGUAAGGAAGACCAGUGGCGAAGGCGGGUCUCUGGACAGUUCCUGACGCUGAGGCACGAAGGCCAGGGGAGCAAACGGG